Molecule: ribosomal RNA, 253 nt
Filed under: uncultured bacterium
Lineage: Bacteria
Description: partial 16S ribosomal RNA
Rfam family: Bacterial small subunit ribosomal RNA
Source: RNAcentral
UACGUAGGGGGCAAGCGUUGUCCGGAUUUAUUGGGCGUAAAGGGCGCGUAGGCGAUUUGAAAAGUCUUGUGUGAAAGCCCCGAGCUUAACUCGGGAAGUGCACAAGAAACUGUUGAAUUUGAGUUCCGGAGAGGAAGGCAGAAUUCCCGGUGUAGCGGUGAAAUGCGUAGAUAUCGGGAGGAAUACCAGUGGCGAAGGCGGCCUUCUGGACGGAUACUGACGCUGAGGCGCGAAAGCCAGGGGAGCAAACGGG